RNAcentral lists this ribosomal RNA (355 nucleotides) under Zodion cinereum. Its description in RNAcentral is "partial 12S ribosomal RNA". Lineage: Eukaryota; Metazoa; Arthropoda; Insecta; Diptera; Conopidae. The record is from RNAcentral.
UAAAAAUGUAAAUUUAAAUUCUUAGGUAGUAAUAGAUAUGUUCUUGAAACUUAAAAAAUUUGGCGGUAUUUUAGUCUAUUCAGAGGAACCUGUUCUAUAAUCGAUAAUCCACGAUGGACCUAACUUARAUUUGUUACAGCUUAUAUACCGUUGUUUUAAGAAAAUUUUAUUAGAAUAAUAAUUUUCAAUAAUUAUAAUUAUAAUUUAAAUCAGAUCAAGGUGUAGCUUAUGUUUAAGAAGAAAUGGGUUACAAUAAAUUUAUUUAUACGGAUUUUUUAUUGAAAUUUAAAAAUGAAGGUGGAUUUGAUUGUAAAAAAUUAAAGAUUAAAUUUUUGAUUUUAGCUCUAAAAUAUGU